Molecule: ribosomal RNA, 253 nt
Filed under: uncultured bacterium
Lineage: Bacteria
Description: partial 16S ribosomal RNA
Rfam family: Bacterial small subunit ribosomal RNA
Source: RNAcentral
UACGAAGGGGGCUAGCGUUGUUCGGAAUUACUGGGCGUAAAGCGCGUGUAGGCUGCUCGGAAAGUCGGAUGUGAAAGCCCUGGGCUCAACCUAGGAAGUGCAUUCGAAACUACCGAGCUGGAGUUCUGGAGAGGAAGGCGGAAUUCUCGGUGUAGAGGUGAAAUUCGUAGAUAUCGAGAGGAACACCGGUGGCGAAGGCGGGUCUCUGGGCCGUAACUGACGCUGAGGAGCGAAAGCGUGGGGAGCGAACAGG